UUGGCAUGAUGAGGAAAUUAAUACAUUGUGCCUGAUCCGCUGGAUGAGAACUUCCUCCUACUCAUUCUGA
RNAcentral lists this small nucleolar RNA (70 nucleotides) under Dichanthelium oligosanthes. RNAcentral's name for it is "Small nucleolar RNA Z105". It matches the Rfam family "Small nucleolar RNA Z105". From Rfam's summary of the family: This family consists of several snoRNA Z105 sequences which are members of the C/D class of snoRNA which contain the C (UGAUGA) and D (CUGA) box motifs. This family seems to be found exclusively in plants. Lineage: Eukaryota; Viridiplantae; Streptophyta; Magnoliopsida; Poales; Poaceae. The record is from Rfam by way of RNAcentral.